AGUUGACAGUGAACUUGUAGCUGAACCAAAA
Molecule: small RNA, 31 nt
Filed under: Plasmodium falciparum 3D7
Lineage: Eukaryota; Apicomplexa; Aconoidasida; Haemosporida; Plasmodiidae
Description: Pfa-mtR11d
Source: RNAcentral